RNAcentral lists this ribosomal RNA (506 nucleotides) under uncultured Gammaproteobacteria bacterium. RNAcentral describes it as "bacterial SSU rRNA". It matches the Rfam family "Bacterial small subunit ribosomal RNA", at positions 390 to 890 of the family's 1533-position model. The record is from RNAcentral. Lineage: Bacteria; Pseudomonadati; Pseudomonadota; Gammaproteobacteria.
AGCAAUGCCGCGUGUGUGAAGAAGGCUGAGGGUUGUAAAGCACUUUCAAUUGGGAGGAAAAAAUAUGUGUUAAUAGCGCAUAUCUUGACAUUACCUUUAGAAGAAGCACCGGCUAACUCCGUGCCAGCAGCCGCGGUAAUACGGAGGGUGCGAGCGUUAAUCGGAAUUACUGGGCGUAAUGCGUACGUAGGCGGUUAGUUAAGUUAGAUGUGAAAGCCCUGGGCUUAACCUGGGAACUGCAUUUAAAACUGGCUAACUCGAGUUUAGUAGAGGGGAGUGGAAUUUCAGGUGUAGCGGUGAAAUGCGUAGAGAUCUGAAGGAACACCAGUGGCGAAGGCGACUCCCUGGACUAAAACUGACGCUGAGGUACGAAAGCGUGGGUAGCAAACAGGAUUAGAUACCCUGGUAGUCCACGCCGUAAACGAUGUCAACUAACCGUUGGGCCUUUUAAAGGUUUAGUGGUGCAGCUAACGUAUUAAGUUGACCGCCUGGGGAGUACGGCCGCA